This 253-nucleotide ribosomal RNA is filed under the name uncultured bacterium. RNAcentral describes it as "partial 16S ribosomal RNA". It matches the Rfam family "Bacterial small subunit ribosomal RNA", at positions 524 to 776 of the family's 1533-position model. The record is from RNAcentral.
UACGUAGGGUGCAAGCGUUGUCCGGAAUCAUUGGGCGUAAAGCGCGCGUAGGUGGCUUCGUAAGUCCGUUGUGAAAGUCAAAGGCUCAACCUUUGAAUGCCGAUGGAUACUGCGAAGCUAGAGUACGGAAGAGGCGAGUGGAAUUCCUGGUGUAGCGGUGGAAUGCGCAGAUAUCAGGAGGAACACCGAUGGCGAAGGCAGCUCGCUGGGACGGUACUGACGCUGAGGCGCGAAAGCGUGGGGAGCAAACAGG